UACGGAAGGCAGCAGUGGGGAAUAUUGGACAAUGGGCGCAAGCCUGAUCCAGCCAUGCCGCGUGUGUGAAGAAGGCCUUUUGGUUGUAAAGCACUUUUAAGCGAGGAGGAGGCUCUCUUAGUUAAUACCUAAGAUGAGUGGACGUUACUCGCAGAAUAAGCACCGGCUAACUCUGUGCCAGCAGCCGCGGUAAUACAGAGGGUGCGAGCGUUAAUCGGAUUUACUGGGCGUAAAGCGUGCGUAGGCGGCUUUUUUAAGUCGGAUGUGAAAUCCCCGAGCUUAACUUGGGAAUUGCAUUCGAUACUGGGAAGCUAGAGUAUGGGAGAGGAUGGUAGAAUUCCAGGUGUAGCGGUGAAAUGCGUAGAGAUCUGGAGGAUACCGAUGGGCGAAGGCAGCCAUCUGGGCCUAAUACUGACGCUGAGGUCGAAAGCAUGGGGA
This 438-nucleotide ribosomal RNA is filed under the name uncultured bacterium. Its description in RNAcentral is "bacterial SSU rRNA". It matches the Rfam family "Bacterial small subunit ribosomal RNA", at positions 340 to 767 of the family's 1533-position model. The record is from RNAcentral.